AUACGGAGGGUGCAAGCGUUAUUCGGAAUCACUGGGCGUAAAGGACGCGUAGGCGGGUUGGCAAGUCAGAUGUGAAAUCCUACAGCUUAACUGUAGAACUGCAUUUGAAACUGCUAACCUAGAGUAUGGGAGGGGGAGAUGGAAUUAGUGGUGUAGGGGUAAAAUCCGUAGAUAUCACUAGGCAUACCGAAAGCGAAGGCGAUCUCCUGGAACAUAACUGACGCUAAGGCGUGAAAGCGUGGGGAGCAAACAGAAGUAGAAACCCUAGUAGUCC
Molecule: ribosomal RNA, 274 nt
Filed under: uncultured bacterium
Lineage: Bacteria
Description: partial 16S ribosomal RNA
Rfam family: Bacterial small subunit ribosomal RNA
Source: RNAcentral